Molecule: transfer RNA, 75 nt
Filed under: Deltaproteobacteria bacterium
Lineage: Bacteria; Pseudomonadati; Myxococcota; Myxococcia
Description: tRNA-Val
Rfam family: tRNA
About the family: Transfer RNA (tRNA) molecules are approximately 80 nucleotides in length. Their secondary structure includes four short double-helical elements and three loops (D, anti-codon, and T loops). Further hydrogen bonds mediate the characteristic L-shaped molecular structure. tRNAs have two regions of fundamental functional importance: the anti-codon, which is responsible for specific mRNA codon recognition, and the 3' end, to which the tRNAs corresponding amino acid is attached (by aminoacyl-tRNA synthetases). tRNAs cope with the degeneracy of the genetic code in two manners: having more than one tRNA (with a specific anti-codon) for a particular amino acid; and 'wobble' base-pairing, i.e. permitting non-standard base-pairing at the 3rd anti-codon position.
Source: RNAcentral
GGGCGAUUAACUCAGCGGGAGAGUGCCACCUUCACACGGUGGAAGUCGCAGGUUCGAUCCCUGCAUCGCCCACCA